This 77-nucleotide transfer RNA is filed under the name bacterium. RNAcentral describes it as "tRNA-Ile". It matches the Rfam family "tRNA". From Rfam's summary of the family: Transfer RNA (tRNA) molecules are approximately 80 nucleotides in length. Their secondary structure includes four short double-helical elements and three loops (D, anti-codon, and T loops). The record is from RNAcentral.
GGGCGGCUAGCUCAGUCGGUUAGAGCGCGUCACUGAUAAUGACGAGGUCCCAGGUUCGAUUCCUGGGCCGCCCACCA